Molecule: long non-coding RNA, 341 nt
Organism: Gasterosteus aculeatus aculeatus (three-spined stickleback)
Lineage: Eukaryota; Metazoa; Chordata; Actinopteri; Perciformes; Gasterosteidae
Source: Ensembl
GCAGCUGUUCCGGACAGCCGCUCUGCUUUGCCCUCUGCUGACGGACCUGAUCACUUCCUCAUCGGCGGGACGCCAGCAGGCCGCCGCCAUCCCCGGGCGGGAGAAGAUGAAGAAGACGGUCAUGCAGACCGGGGAGUGUGUGACACAUGGAGGUUGUGUGAAGUGGAACCUCUCCUGUUGGGAAGGCCUUUGUCUUUCUGUCCGUGGCCGGUGACCCGUGCGGGACGGACCUGGUCGCCUUUCGUCAAAUACAUGCUGCAACCCCCCCCCCUCCACACACACACACACGCCACCUAGAAGAGGAAGGAUGGAUGGAAAGGAAAUCAGUAUUUACUUUAGAC